Molecule: transfer RNA, 62 nt
Filed under: Taenia laticollis
Lineage: Eukaryota; Metazoa; Platyhelminthes; Cestoda; Cyclophyllidea; Taeniidae
Description: tRNA-Gln
Source: RNAcentral
UUUAAUGAGGUGUUUAUGCAUUUUAUGUUUUGGACAUAAAGGUGAUUAGAAAUCCGUUAAAU